Long non-coding RNA from Coregonus clupeaformis (lake whitefish), 1246 nucleotides. RefSeq lists it as uncharacterized. The record is from RefSeq and is a predicted model, not a curated record. NCBI's taxonomy places the organism in Eukaryota, Metazoa, Chordata, Actinopteri, Salmoniformes, Salmonidae. The transcript is spliced from 2 exons.
GGAAUACCUGGUCGAUAGUAGUGCACUAGGUAGGGAAUACCUGGUCGAUAGUAGUGCACUAGGUAGGGAAUACCUGGUCGAUAGUAGUGCACUAGGACUAGGGAAUACCUGGUCGAUAGUAGUGCACUAGGACUAGGGAAUACCUGGUCGAUAGUAGUGCACUAGGACUAGGGAAUACCUGGUCGAUAGUAGUGCACUAGGACUAGGGAAUACCUGGUCGAUUAGUAGUGCACUAGGACUAGGGAAUACCUGGUCGAUAGUAGUGCACUAGGACUAGGGAAUACCUGGUCGAUAGUAGUGCACUAGGACUAGGGAAUACCUGGUCGAUAGUAGUGCACUAGGACUAGGGAAUACCUGGUCGAUAAUAGUGCACUAGGACUAGGGAAUACCUGGUCGAUAGUAGUGCACUAGGACUAGGGAAUACCUGGUCGAUAGUAGUGCACUAGGACUAGGGAAUACCUGGUCGAUAGUAGUGCACUAGGACUAGGGAAUACCUGGUCGAUAGUAGUGCACUAGGACUAGGGAAUACCUGGUCGAUAGUAGUGCACUAGGACUAGGGAAUACCUGGUCGAUAGUAGUGCACUAGGACUAGGGAAUACCUGGUCGAUAGUAGUGCACUAGGACUAGGGAAUACCUGGUCGAUAGUAGUGCACUAGGUAGGGAAUACCUGGUCGAUAGUAGUGCACUAGGUAGGGAAUACCUGGUCGAUAGUAGUGCACUAGGUAGGGAAUAGAAUGGUUUUUGUCUUUCCAUUCUUGUGCAUUUUUCCAUUUGGAACACAUGUUAUAAAUAUGUUGUUUUUGUGUGUUUUAAUCAUUGUUUUCAUGGGUCCAAAGUGUGUUCACUGAACAUAUGUAUGUGAAUGUGUUUGACUUGGUCGAGCUCUGGACUAUUGGCGGGUCAAAGAAAUGUAGUGUGGUCUUGCUUUAAGUUAUAACCUCUUAUUUGUAAUCAGAAUAGAUUUGUUUGGUAUCAUAUCCAGUGAUAUUUAAUAGGUGGUUUCUGGUGUAGACCAACAGCUGUCAUCAGGAAAGACCGACAAUCCAGUUAUUCAGGGUCGGCAGGGAUCAGAGGAGAAACAGGCCUCAAUAUUGAAUGAACAUGAUUCUGUUUGUAUGCAACCAUCUCAAGCUUUUAUCAAAGACUGCUUUUAUCCAGAACGUUCUAAUGGUGAAAAUAUGUCCAUGUUUUAAGUGUAACUACUGCAUUCCCUCAGAACACGACUAAAUAAAAGGUUAAGAGGAAA